This 5511-nucleotide unclassified non-coding RNA is filed under the name Caenorhabditis elegans. Its description in RNAcentral is "Non-coding transcript of protein-coding gene let-526". Lineage: Eukaryota; Metazoa; Nematoda; Chromadorea; Rhabditida; Rhabditidae. The record is from RNAcentral.
GAGCCACAAUCGCGCAACGACAUUUCUUUGGAAAUUUCAUAGGGAUUUGAAAGACAAAACAAUCCCCUGCCGUGCUGUGUCUCUGGAACUUGUUCAGCGCACGGAAAACGAGGGCGAAGGAAUUUUUCGUGGAAAUUUACGGUAUAAAUUCAGUUAAUGGUUGUGUCGACGGAAAUUGAAGGAGAACACUGAAACAGAGAGAACAUGCCAGGUGACGACAAUGCAGUUGGAACGGAGACAAAUGAAGAUAAGCCAACUACAUCAAAUGCAGUCACCGCAGAAAAUCCGUCGAGAGGUGAUGAGUCGCAGCAACAGCAACAACAACCGCAGCAGCAACAGAAAAGGGGCGAAGAUGCUGAUAAAUACGCCGCUUCGGUAGCUGAAGUUGCACAUGGUGGUGGUGGACCAAAGAAAGAUGAUCAAGUACCCCCUGCUCCUGAUGCUUCCAUGCCUACUCCUCAACAGCAGCAACAACAACCAAAUUUACCUCCACCUCAACAACCAUAUGAGCAUCCAGCGCAGCAACACCCUCCACAGCAUCAUAGUGUACCUCCGAACAGUUUUGCACCACCACCGGGACAGCAUCAUCCGCAACAUCCCGGUAUGCCACCAAUGGAAUGGAGACCUCCAGGAGCAGAAUAUCAAAUGCCACCAGGUUAUCCAGCAGGAUAUCCUCCGUACGGAAUGCCUCCACGACAUCAUCCUGGUUAUCCACAUCCUGCAUAUGGAUACCCGCCGCCUGGUGCUCCAUAUGGAUAUCCUCCUCAAAUGAUGAGGCCACCAAUGAUGGCUCCAGGAGAUAUGGUCAGAAUGCCACCUGGUCCAACGCCAACGGAAUGGGCCGCUCAGCAACAAGCACAAGCAGCAUCGCGUAGUGUGCCACCAAAAGAAGGUCCGAACGGAAAUCCAGCUACACCUUCUUCAUCUUCUCAGCCGAUACCGUCUCCUUCGGCAUCCUCAAUUGCUGAAGAAUCAUUAGAUGAUAAGCCAAGUGGUACAAAAAUGCCUGCUCAGCCACCACCACAACAACAUCCACCACCACCACAGCCACAACAAAUUAUGUCACCGAUGCCUCCACAAGCUCCACCAUCGCAACAGGCAACACCUAGUUCGUCAGCAGCUUCUGUGGCUGCUCCCGAUACGCCAAAAGUGUCUGGAAAGGUUCUGAGCAAGGCGGAGCUGUUUGAGAAGCUUGUCGGACCGAUAACUCUUCACAAUCCGAUGAAAGUGAUGGCGGAGAGAAGGGGAUUUUUCGAGCGACUGAUAGAGUUCUGCGAGCAUAACGGAGAGCCCCUUACUAUGGUUCCACAAGUUUCAAAACAAAGUAUCGAUCUUCAUCGACUAUACAUUGGUGUCAGAGCGAAAGGAGGGUUUCAGCAAGUUACAAAAGACAAAUAUUGGAAGAAUUUGUGCACCGAAGCGAAUCCUGAUCUCGCUGAAUCGUCAGCCGCAGGAUAUCAGCUUAGAAAGCACUAUCAACGGCAUUUACUAAUGCUAGAAUGUCGAGAAACCGGGAGAAAUCCGGAGGAUGAGGUUGCUUUUGCGGAUAAAAUGAAACGACAAAGGAAACGAGAACCGGCCGGUGGAAACGCUGCAGCUGCAGCAGCAGUUGCCGCGGCUCAACAAGGAGAUCAGAAGUCGCAACAUGGAGCUCCGGGAGGUAGUGGAGCACCACCACCUGGACCACCAGGAGCUUAUCCAGGAAAUGGAGCACCAGGUGGACCACCAGGAGGGCCACCUCAGUUCCCUGGACAUCCUGGAAUGGAUCCGAAUUAUCACUAUUACCAGCAACAUGGUAUGAUGCCACCACAUCCUGGUCAUCCUGGAUACCCACCACAACAUAUGAAUGCUUUCUCCCCUGGUCAAUAUCCAGGACAUCAGAGGCCUCCAGGUGGACCUGGGGGUCCUCCACCGGGACCUCAAGCUAUGAGAGCACCAAUGCCACAGCAUAUGCAAGAAAUGGAUGAACAUCAAAGACAGUGGUAUGCUCAUCAACAAGCCGCUGCCGCACAUCAUCAUGCUCAGCAACAAGCUGCUGCUCAGGCUCAAGCUGCUCAAGCUCAACAAGCAUCUACUCCGGCUCCAUCAACGACACCAGCUCCUCAGGCAGCAUCUUCGUCGCAAGCUGCACCAACCAGUGGCGCCAAUACUCAACCAGCAACUCCAUCAGCUUCAAAUCAACCACCGACGCCUGCUUCUGCGUCAGCCUCAACAACAUUGCACGUCGAACCAGCAUCAGUCGCCGGAGGAAGUCAAGCAGGCAGUCGAGCUCCCAGUGCUGGCCCCGGACCGAGUGCAACACCGGAUAGUUCAACUAUUCCAAGUGCUUCUGCUGCUGCUGAUGCUCAAACAACGACAAGUAGUGAAACAUCAACACCUGGAGAACCAACUUCUAGUACUCCGUCCGAUACGCCUGCUCCGUCGACAAGUGUACCUCCACCAACUUCUGUGCAGCCACCUCAACCUCAACAGCCUCCACAAGGACCGCCAGGACCACCAGGACCUCAACAACAUCCAGGUCCUUAUCCAGGAUAUCCUGGAUAUGGGCCACCGGGUGCUAUGAGACCACCAGCAGGGUUUGCUCCACCCCCAGGAGCACCGUACGGGUAUCCGCCAGGAGCACCACCACCUGCUGGAUUCCAUCCGAGUCAUCCUCAACAUCCUCAACAUGCACAAUAUCUCGCAUGGCAACAACAACGGUAUCAUCAACAACAACAACAUCAGCAACAACAGCAGCAAGGAGCUCCUGGAGGACCACGACCACCAUAUCCAUAUCCAGGUGGACCAGUGCCACCAGGUCCCCCACAAAAUCGUAUGCCACCGCCGCCACCGGCUCAGGGAGCACCGUCUCCAUCUGGUGCUGCAGGAUCCAAUGGGAAGCAACCGAGAUAUGGAACUCCGGCUCCACCGUCUCGAGCAUCAGCGCCAACUCCGCAACCGCUCUCUUCUACAAUGCCCGUUGUUGCACCAUCUACAUCAACUCAGCCGACUCCCACGACAGGAAGUUAUCUUGCGAACACGUUGGCGACUCCAGGGCCAGCACAUGCACCAUCUUCAUCAAUGUCCCAUGCGCAUCACGUAAUCAGUCAGCAACAGCAUCAGUAUCCUCCAGGAUGCAUUGAAGCCACUGCAACAUCACAGAAUCAAGUGAAACGGCGGAAAGUUUACGCACGAGAACUGAUCAACGCGACACCACGACGAUUGAUUAUGUCACUUCGUUCGGGACUUGAUGCUGAAGCUAUUUGGGCGAUAAAUGCUUUAAAUGUGUUGCUCUAUGAUGAUACAAAUCCUCAUCCAACACUUCAACAAAUGCCAGGACUAGUUAAUGUUAUUGUUGAGCAUCUUUACGCAACACUUUCCAUUAUGUAUCCGGCCGAAUUUCAACUUACCGAACCUGGAAAACCGAUUAUUAUGGAUGAGUCGAAAGAGACUGUGGAAAAAAUGAUGAAAGCCGAAAAAGAUGGAGGAAUUAAAUCGAUUAUCGAGAAAAUGCCUGUGGUUCCAAGGAAAGGCAGUGAUAAAACUGCAACUUUCACUAUGAUGUCAAGAAAUGGUCUUCAAGUGCAUUUCCGUGAUGAAUCCAUUCCAACUGCUCUUCGAAAACGAUUUUCUCGAGAAAGCGGUGAGAAGAACUCUGAUGCGAUGGUUGAUCAUUCGAUCAGUUCCGCUUAUGUAGAAGAUCGAAAUUCUGUUGGAUUAGGAGGUGGACUCGCUGAACGAAUUGCUACACGUCUUCGAGACAAACUUCUUCACGAAAAGACUCGUCCACGACCUGUCUUCUCCAAAUAUUUGGAUGAUCUCGAAACAGAAUCAACAGAAACGAUUGAUACUGUGGAGGUGAAGAAAGAAAUUGAAGAUGAGGUAGCUGAGGAGAAAAAGGAUGUUCUUCUGAUGCGUGGAGCUCGUCCAGACGAGUUAUCUGAUUGUAAGCAUGAGGUUGAGCUCGCGUGGCCCAGGCCCACUGCACUAUCACCUAAAAGUCAAGCAAUGGAAGAACUUGCUCAUAGAGCACUUGCUCUGUCGAAUAUUCUACGAGGUUUCUCGUUUGUUGCUGGAAGUGAUGUUCUGAUGGCUAGAAAUGAGGCCCUGUUGUUUAUUAUUGGACGGCUUUUAAAGCUAAAUGUCAAGGAGCACAAGAUUUCAUCAAAGCGACCUGGAAUAGUUAUGAGUGCUGAAGAAUUGAAAACUGCACCAAAACAACUGUCAGCAGAUGAAAAACGCGCCAAGGAGAAGUCUGUACUCGAUGAAGUCGAUGCAACGACUGCUCAGAUGGUGGAAACGGCGAAUCAAUUGAGAGAUGAUGCAUUCGUGAUGCUUACUCAUAUGAGUGUCUCGUUGAAUCUUGUUGAUUUGCCUGAUGCGAUUGCAUACCCGAUUUAUGAUGGAUUACUGAGAUGGUCCGUGUCAAGAGUUCCCGAAGCGACAGACUCGUCGAUUCCAUGUCCGGUGUCGCCGAGAGAUUACUCGUUGGAAAUUAUGUGCAAAAUGGUUGUGAUUGAACGAAAUGUCGACAUGUUCCUCUCCACGGGAAGCUGGUCACGUGUCGAACAAUUUGUGCAUAUACUGACGAGAUUGCUCACAAUGAAUGAGGAAACUCAUUAUAGAGAAUUCGCAAUUGUGAUACUGAAUGCUCUUUGCAUCGCUUCUGAAGCUGUAUGUUACAUAUGUGCAAUGGAAACUUCUGCCAUAGCCCAUCUCAUUCUAUUCAUCGAUUCAGCCGAUCAGAAUAUGCAUCAAGUAAUGCAAGCUCAUGGAAUGGCUGCCCUUCGUGACAAUCCAGAACUCAUGGGAACAUCUGUUGGAAUGCUCCGAAGAGCGGCUUCGAUGCUCCGUUUGUUGGUGAAAGUGCCGAAGGCGUACAAGAUUUACAUGAAACAUCAAACUCGCCUUCUACAAUUCACAAUGAGCCAAUUGAUGGAUUCCCGAGUGGCUGGAAUGAUUGCCGACACACUUUACGAAAUUCAAGAAUUUGUCAAAGAGUUUGGCGAAGACGUUCCAGAACCACUGAAAAUCACAUAUUCUGAAGGAUAUCAACCGAGCCAGACGGACGACAAGGAAUCGACAUCUACAAACUCGGAUGCUGCAGCACCACCACAAAAAUCGACGAGUUCUUCGCCCAAGCCAGUCGAAGAAUCAGCAGCGACAACUUCGGUAAAUGUUCACGGGAAUGGUACAUUGGAAUGCGAAACAAGUAGUAGACCAUUGUCGUCAGAAGCUGCAGCGGCCGUCAUUACUCCAUAUGAAAAUCAUCAUAAAAAUGAAGAAGAAGAGGAUUUGAAAAAGGAAAUUGACGAAGGGGAAUCGUGUGAUGGAUAUGAUACAGAAGCUAUUCGAUUAUCGCAAAAACGGUCUGCUGCUGCACUUAUUGAUGAGCAAUCCCGUUCUCCGCCACCAGCGAAAAGAGCCCAUCUUUCCAACGGAUUCGAUAAAUCAAAAUCUUCAGUUUCAACGAACGGAACACUGGGUGAUGCUUCUCAAAAUGAUGGUGCUCUGACGACAGCCGUUGCAUGA